RNAcentral lists this transfer RNA (73 nucleotides) under Microbacterium telephonicum. It matches the Rfam family "tRNA". From Rfam's summary of the family: Transfer RNA (tRNA) molecules are approximately 80 nucleotides in length. The record is from Rfam by way of RNAcentral. Lineage: Bacteria; Bacillati; Actinomycetota; Actinomycetes; Micrococcales; Microbacteriaceae.
GCCUCCGUAGCUCAGUGGAUAGAGCGCCAGUUUCCGGUACUGGAAGUCAGGAGUUCGACUCUCCUCGGGGGCA